Dreissena polymorpha is the source of this 1154-nucleotide long non-coding RNA. RefSeq lists it as uncharacterized. NCBI's taxonomy places the organism in Eukaryota, Metazoa, Mollusca, Bivalvia, Myida, Dreissenidae. The record is from RefSeq and is a predicted model, not a curated record. The transcript is spliced from 3 exons.
AUUGACUUCUGAUUCAAGUUUCUAAAUGUUUAUUAUGAGAAACAUUUGCCCUAUACAAGAAAAACAAUAUUUAUGUUCAGUUCAAUUUAUACAAUAAUUGCCAUACAUGUAUAUAUUACAUGUCAUAAUAUUAAAAUAUGUGAGUAUGUAAUGAUAAUUUACCUUAAAACACUUAAAGUACAUGUAGAUCUACUAUAAUCAUAAAAUAUCUUUGAAUUAAGGUUCUUACAGUAAACUUGAUUUAGGGUUGAAUACAAAUUGAAAAUUGUUUUUCAAUUCCCCCCCCCCCCUGACUUAUGAAAACUGCUUUGCUUUAAUGGUAGUACAUAUGUAUUUCCACUGGGGUUAAAUGUUUAGUUUGCCUUCCUCUGACUCUAUCUAUGAAAAAUUGUAAUGUCAGUGCUUGUAUACACCUCUGUGACAGUUCACUUGAAAAUAGUCAUAAACCCCUAACAAACAAAUCCUGCCCGCUUGAUACUUGUAAUGUGAAACUGGGGCUAUCUUUACUGGCUUGCUGGAAUGUGUAUAAUCUCUUCUGAUUGGUUGGGAGCCAAAUUUGAACGUGUAAACAUAGAUCCAUGCAGGACCUGAAAUGUAGUUUCAAAGCAAUGUUGGGAAUUUUUAAAGUUGAAGUUUUAACAAUAUCCUGAUAUACUUUAAUGGACAUUCUUAAACAAUUAAUUAGAAUGUGGAAAUCAACAUUUUGUGUGUCAACAAGUCUCUAAAAGAGGAAUUCAGUGAGUUAUGAAGCGGCCCUUUUGGAAAUGCUUUGAACUGUUAAACAGCGAUUGUCAAAAAAGAUUGUGUAGCAACUUACCCCUGACAACGACCUCAGAAGUGCAGUCACAGAGUAAUGGUGCUGUUAUCACUUAAAAGCAACCAUCAAAAAAGAUUGUGUAGCAACUUUCCCCUGACAACGACCACUGGCUCAGUUAAGUGCAGUCACAGAGUGAUGGUACCUCACCAGGGUCUAGUUCAGGCAAAUGAAGAUCUCUAAAAGGGAUUUUUAUCUCAAUAUAAUAACUGUAAUUUCUUAAAACAUAAACUUACUUUAUUUACUGUGUUUUUAUGUCAUUAUAACAGUGAUACAGUAAUGUGUGUUGUAUUUAGGGAUUUAUUUCUUAACGGGAUGUGUAAGAGUAAAUUAUUUUAUU